This 391-nucleotide ribosomal RNA is filed under the name uncultured bacterium. RNAcentral's name for it is "bacterial SSU rRNA". It matches the Rfam family "Bacterial small subunit ribosomal RNA", at positions 987 to 1378 of the family's 1533-position model. The record is from RNAcentral.
UCGCCGGUAAUCCUUCAGAGAUGGAGAGUCCCUUUGGGGGCCGUUGACAGGUGGUGCAUGGCUGUCGUCAGCUCGUGUCGUGAGAUGUUGGGUUAAGUCCCGCAACGAGCGCAACCCUUAUCCUAUGUUGCCAGCGGGUUAUGCCGGGGACUCAUGGGAGACUGCCGGGGUCAACUCGGAGGAAGGUGGGGACGACGUCAAGUCAUCAUGCCCCUUAUGUCCAGGGCUUCUCGCAUGCUACAAUGGCCGGUACAGAGGGCUGCGAUGCCGUGAGGUGGAGCGAAUCUCUUAAAGCCGGUCUCAGUUCGGAUCGGGGUCUGCAACUCGACCCCGUGAAGUCGGAGUCGCUAGUAAUCGCAGAUCAGCAACGCUGCGGUGAUACGUUCCCGGG